Molecule: ribosomal RNA, 509 nt
Filed under: uncultured Polaribacter sp.
Lineage: Bacteria; Pseudomonadati; Bacteroidota; Flavobacteriia; Flavobacteriales; Flavobacteriaceae
Description: bacterial SSU rRNA
Rfam family: Bacterial small subunit ribosomal RNA
Source: RNAcentral
AUUGUGCUUGCACAGAUGACGACCGGCGCACGGGUGCGUAACGCGUAUAGAACCUACCUUUUACAGAGGAAUAGCCUUUAGAAAUGAAGAUUAAUGCCUCAUGGUAUUGUAGACUGGCAUCAGUUUAUAAUUAAAGAUUUAUCGGUAAAAGAUGGCUAUGCGUCCUAUUAGUUAGUUGGUAAGGUAACGGCUUACCAAGACAGCGAUAGGUAGGGGUCCUGAGAGGGAGAUCCCCCACACUGGUACUGAGACACGGACCAGACUCCUACGGGAGGCAGCAGUGAGGAAUAUUGGACAAUGGAGGAGACUCUGAUCCAGCCAUGCCGCGUGUAGGAAGAAUGCCCUAUGGGUUGUAAACUACUUUUAUACAGGAAGAAACACUGGUAUGUAUACCAGCUUGACGGUACUGUAAGAAUAAGGACCGGCUAACUCCGUGCCAGCAGCCGCGGUAAUACGGAGGGUCCGAGCGUUAUCCGGAAUCAUUGGGUUUAAAGGGUCCGCAGGCGGUC